This 544-nucleotide ribosomal RNA is filed under the name Scirtothrips frondis. Its description in RNAcentral is "eukaryotic LSU rRNA". It matches the Rfam family "Eukaryotic large subunit ribosomal RNA", at positions 287 to 647 of the family's 3401-position model. The record is from RNAcentral. Lineage: Eukaryota; Metazoa; Arthropoda; Insecta; Thysanoptera; Thripidae.
CCUAAGUGGGUGGUAAACUCCAUCUAAGGCUAAAUACAACCACGAGACCGAUAGCACACAAGUACCGUGAGGGAAAGGUGAAAAGAACUUUGAAGAGAGAGUUCAAGAGUACGUGAAACUGAGGUGGUGUAAACGGACGAGAUCGAAAAGUCCGAAUGGGGAGAUUCAAGCCUAUCCGUGCCGGUGGCCGUUGGGUACAGAUGGUGCGGUCGGUUCGGGCCCCUCGGGGUGCCGGAUUCGCUCCGUAUUCACUCGUCCCGGCGGUAUCUGUCUGGUGCGGUGGGCUGCACUUCUCCCCUAGUAGGACGUCGCGACCCGUUGGGAGUUGUUCCGAUCAAGGCCCACGGUGGAGCCCGUGCCGGAGCGGAUUGGUUUCGGCCUUCCGUUGCUGUGCACGGACCCGCGGUGACCUGAUUGGCGCCCGACGGUAUCAAAGCAUUUGGGAAGGUACCGCACAGAGGUUGCGUCCGACGCCCGCCCGCGGGCUACGCUCGGACAGGUACGCACCCGGUCAGCGGCGCUACUGCUUUCGAUACUCGUCCGA